AUGGACAGGGUUUUGAAGCUCUGUGGGUUUCUGGAGAGCAUUGAAACAAUCGUGAGGAAAUCUUUCUUCUUGGGGAGUUAAUUAUUUAUUGUUCUGUGUUUGAUGAGUUAAUGUUCAAACAACAAACAACAAAGUCAAGAAAUUCCACCUCCUGAUGGAGGAAGUUGUCAAUCAGUCACUGCUGUGAGUCCUGAGUGGAAAUCAUUGAUUUUCUUUGUCAUAAAAAAAAACACGUCAAAUGUUUUGAAGAAACGUUUCACUGUUUCCUCGUGGAGUCUUGAACACAGCUGGAUUAUCAGUGCAGCCUAAUUACUGAGUGUCGGCAGUUGGACUUUUCUACCACUAAUUAGGAUAUGCUGUUACUGUCCCGAGUGUUGUUUCCGACCUGGGGCUGCAGUAUCUUCGUCAGACUGGAAAACUCUCCCACGUCUCCACCCUACAGUUGGUGGGCGGAGCCUGGAGGCUUUAGGCUACAUCCACACAGACCCGUGGUCUCAGCUCUACACUCAACACUGAAGCCAACGUUGGAUAAAGCUGAUUGUUUUGGUUGAAAUGUGUGAAAAAUUGUUGUUCAAAGAGAGCAGCACAGCUCCUGAUGGGAUUUUUUCAAAAUAAAAGCAUGCAACUGAGAACAUUCAGUGUCUCUCUUUUUAUAUCACUUCACUAAUUAAAGUAAUUUGGAGCCAUCGUUUAAUUUGAGAAUUAAUAUAAACUUGUUUGAAAGUCAGUACAAGGAAGGACUUUUUCUUCGUGUUCUGUUUGCUAUCCGACUUCAAACUAAGGCUACGUUCACAUCGCAGGUCCCGCUGCUCAAUUUCCAUUGAUUUUUUUUGUAAAAAGCUUUUGU
Cynoglossus semilaevis (tongue sole) is the source of this 847-nucleotide long non-coding RNA. RefSeq lists it as uncharacterized. The record is from RefSeq and is a predicted model, not a curated record. NCBI's taxonomy places the organism in Eukaryota, Metazoa, Chordata, Actinopteri, Pleuronectiformes, Cynoglossidae. The transcript has 2 exons.